AUUCUCUUUCCUGUGAACCUCCAGAACAAUUUGCUUGAACUUCUCUUGUAGAACAAACCUUAUUCCGGCAUCUAUCAGAGACAAUAAGGGUCUUAGAAUCUAGAAAACAGGGUCCUGGAAGGGCACACUUCCCACACAUCUGUUUCUUCCACAGGACCUGCAUGCUGCCUUGCUGUUGUAGAUCUGUUCCGUAGGCAGUUGUGGAAUUAAAAGCAACACCCCAUGUAGCUGAAUGUUCAGGGAUCACAGGCCACUGCCGUUUCCCACCCACUCCCAGCCUCCGGGGAGUCUUAGCCUGUGGAGUCCCAGGAAACACAUGGAAAAGGGAGCCUUGGAACCAGAGUGGAGUGACAGCUAAGGGGUGCUGGAGGCCCCCGUGACCUUGACUGUGCACAACGCCCAGACCAGCUCGGACUUUUUCCUCUCCUUAACAUAUUUAAAUGGAGUCAAUAUUGGGGUCAGCUUCACACACAGAGCCUUCUUCAGCUUUAGAGGUGAACAGCCCCCCCUCCCAGCCCCCUCAGCCCGUCGUCCCUGCUAAGCCCGUGCAAUGCGUCCAUCAUGUGUCCACUCAACCCAGCUGCCCGGGACGGGGCAAGAUGUCCAAGCUGCUGAACCCAGAGGAGAUGACCUCGAGAGAUUAUUACUUCGACUCCUACGCCCACUUUGGGAUCCACGAGGAAAUGCUGAAGGAUGAGGUGCGGACACUCACUUACCGGAACUCCAUGUACCACAACAAGCACGUGUUCAAGGACAAAGUGGUACUGGAUGUGGGGAGUGGUACUGGGAUCCUUUCCAUGUUUGCUGCCAAGGCAGGGGCCAAGAAGGUGUUUGGGGUGCCCUCACCCUUCCUCAAGGCGUGGCCAGAGGCGUCAGAAACUCCCUCAGUGCCCCUUUGCGAGUACUUCUCAAGGGAAUGGUCCCUGCCCGAGGCCUGGGGGUAGUCUGAGGGGCCCCCAAGUGUGGAGAUCGAAUGCUCCAGUAUUUCUGACUACUCAGAGAAGAUCAUUAAGGCCAACCACCUGGACAGCAUCAUCACCAUAUUUAAGGGUAAAGUGGAAGAGGUGGAGCUGCCUGUGGAGAAGGUGGACAUCAUCAUCAGCGAGUGGAUGGGCUACUGUCUGUUCUAUGAGUCCAUGCUCAACACGGUGAUCUUUGCCAGGGACAAGUGGCUGAAACCUGGAGGGCUUAUGUUUCCAGACCGGGCAGCUUUGUACGUGGUAGCGAUUGAAGACAGACAGUACAAGGACUUCAAAAUCCACUGGCUACUGGGAAAUAAAUGGCCAGCAGAAAGGAGAAAAAAAUCUAAUCCCUUGGGUGAUCUGUGCUCUGAAUGAUUGAAGGUGGGGCAGUCCAGCUGAGGAGAUAAGUCCCAAAUUAACCCAUAACCCAAAUUAACCGGUGGGAGAAUGUCUAUGGCUUUGACAUGACCUGCAUCCGGGACGUGGCCAUGAAGGAGCCUCUAGUGGACAUCGUGGAUCCAAAGCAAGUGGUGACCAAUGCCUGUUUAAUAAAGAUACAGCGCAACGACUACGUCCACGCCCUGGUCACCUAUUUUAAUAUUGAAUUUACCAAGUGCCACAAGAAAAUGGGGUUUUCCACAGCCCCUGAUGCUCCCUACACUCACUGGAAGCAGACCGUCUUCUACUUGGAAGAUUACCUCACUGUCCGGAGGGGGGAGGAAAUCUACGGGACCAUAUCAAUGAAGCCAAAUGCCAAAAAUGUGCGAGACCUCGAUUUCACAGUAGACUUGGAUUUUAAGGGACAGCUGUGUGAAACAUCUGUAUCUAAUGACUACAAAAUGCGUUAGCACACGUGGGAAGCUGCAGAGAGCAACGAGAAAAGGAACUCUCACCUCGAUCUGCCGUGCCGUCCCAAAGAAUACCGUUUGCAGGACUACACACUUGAAAACCAGAGUUUUCAACUCUGCCUUGAAGAUUGGUGAACCCCCCAGGGCUCCCGUGGGCUCUGCCACUGGACAGAAGGCCUCCAGCUCCUCCGCUCUGCCCUGAGAGCCCUUCACGAAGGCUUUGUGUUGCCAACAAAGAGCGACCUCGCGAGCUGUGGCUGGGCCCCGAGGGUGGAAACGUAUUCGCGUCUCCCCGUCUCCUCCUUAACUGUGACUCUCCGGGUCUUCUGAGUUUUGCAUGCUGCGGGUGUCUAGGACAGAUUGCUUCCACUAGAACCUGGAGACAUAGCAUCUUUGAUAGCAUAAGCCAGAUUAUCUGUGUGUGCGGUGGUGUGUGUGUGCGUGCAUGUGUGAAUGUGAGCAGUAUAGUUGAUGUUUACCCACAAAUACCUGUAUAUGCAUGCAUAUACAACCAAGUGGGUAGACCUAGGUGUUCACUCAGAAGGGUGUGUGCGUGUGUGCGUGCGCGUGUGCCUAGAAUAUAUAUUACUCUCAGAGGAGAUUCUGUUGCUUUUGAAUAGGAAUUUGUUUUGUGAUUAGUUUGGCCCUUCCCCACCCCUUACCAGAUGUUAAGCAGCUAUGAAACAUUCUCUGUACUAGUUCUGGUCUCCUUUUGACUGGACUGUGGCUCUGAACCUUGAGCAUAGUACCACGGACUCCGUGGGCGCUCAAUAAACACACAUGAGAACAAA
RNAcentral lists this small RNA (2601 nucleotides) under Pongo abelii (Sumatran orangutan). RNAcentral's name for it is "processed transcript". The record is from RNAcentral. Lineage: Eukaryota; Metazoa; Chordata; Mammalia; Primates; Hominidae.